Molecule: unclassified non-coding RNA, 167 nt
Filed under: uncultured Polyporales
Lineage: Eukaryota; Fungi; Basidiomycota; Agaricomycetes; Polyporales
Description: sequence contains ITS1
Source: RNAcentral
CAGAGUUCAUGCCCUUCGGGGUAGAUCUCCCACCCUGUGUAUUUAUACCUUUGUUGCUUUGGCAGGCCGUCAGGCUUCGGCUCGACUACCGGCUUCGGCUGGUAAGCGCCUGCCAGAGGAAAUCAAACUCUGAAUAUCAGUGUCGUCUGAGUAAAUUAUAAUAGUUA